RNAcentral lists this unclassified non-coding RNA (2210 nucleotides) under Leishmania donovani. RNAcentral describes it as "gene:LdHU3.26.0370(CDS-product:ras-like_small_GTP ases_putative)". The record is from RNAcentral. Lineage: Eukaryota; Euglenozoa; Kinetoplastea; Trypanosomatida; Trypanosomatidae.
CACAGACGCCGGCUGAACACUCAACCAUUCCGCGUCGCCCUGCUGCAAUGCGUCUUACACGUUUCGGACUUUUAGCUGCUUCCACACCAUGGAACGGUUCACGGGCACGUCACCUGUCGCCGAGCUCGAGCACUGUCCCCACGUCACCAUCCUUGUCUCUCUUCAGCGCCUGUCGCGGCUUCGCGUCGACUUCCGUUCCGCGCGCGUCGUCCUCUGCGACGUCCUUUGCUGGAGCGACGGCGACGACGACGGGAGCGAAGGACUUUGUCAACGCGCUGCCCCGGCGUGCCCAAAUCAGGGGCGGUCUUCACUUCAACUGGCGCGAGGAGGUUAAGCGGUCCGGCAGCCGACUGAACGACAUCUCCUCUGCCAUGGAAGACGCCGCGCGCACCGACGAGCAGCGCCGGCGCGUGGCUGGCUGGACGCCGGUGGUCAAGACUCUGGGUGAUCAGCGUCUUCGCGUCGCCAUUGUCGGCCGCAUGAACAGCGGCAAGUCCUCGCUGUUCAACUUGCUCUGUCAGGACCCCACAAUGCCCGCAAAGAAGAAUAUUGUAAAGGACUUCAACGGCAUCACGCGCGACUGCGUGGAGGCGCACGCGGCGCUAGACGACCUGCACUUCACCGUCAUCGACACCCCAGGCCUCAUUGGUGGCAAGCUGGUCGAGGAGGCGUUCCGCACCGUUGAGACGGCGGACGCCGCGAUCUUCGUCACCGCUGUGGACGAGGACGUGUCUGCGGAGGAGCACGACCUGAUCCAGUACCUGGCAGCCAAGAAGAUGCCAGCGUGCCUGUUGGUCAACAAGAUGGACCUCGUGCCGGAGGAGGAGGAGUCUCUCGUACUGGACGCGUACAACCGCCUCGGCCUCGGCAAAGCCGUCCCGUUUUCGGCUCGCAAGCGGGAGGGCCUCGAUGCGCUGUCGGCCUUGCUCGAGCCGCUCUACCACAUUCACGCGAUGCGCAAAGUGGAGAACGACUGGGAUAUCGAGGAUCUCGCCAUGGCCGGUGACGAGGCGGCCAUGGAGGAGAUUCGCGAUCGCAACUGCACCGACCGGUACAUCCGCGUGGCCAUCGUCGGUCGCACGAACAGCGGCAAGACAAGCCUGGUGAACCGCCUCGUCGGCUACGAGCGAAACCGCGCCGCUGACGAGUCGAACACGACCCGCGACCCCAUCGAAAUCGCAUGCACGUACAAGGGGAGGAAGCUGAAGCUCAUCGACACGGCCGGGCUGGCGCGUCAGCGGUACCGCACUGACCGCGAGUUUCUCAGCCGCAUCCAUAGCCUCUCGCUGAACGAGAUUCGCUACGCGCACGUGGUGAUUGUGGUGUUUGACGCCACCGAGGGUCACCCGAACAAGUACGACAUGUCCAUCCUGCACAAGGUCGCCCAAGAGGGCCGCCCGUUCGUGCUGUGCGCGAACAAGUGGGACGCGGUGCUCGACCAAAGCGCAACCGCCGAGGCCAUCGACUUCAAGAUCAAGCGGCAGGUGCAGGAGGUGAAGUACAGCAACGCGGUGGUCGUCUCUGCGCACACUGGCAUGAACCUGACCUUGCUCAUGGACCAGGUGCUGGAGCUGUACGACACGUGGAACAAGCGCGUGCGACGUUCGGAGCUGACCAAGUUCUGGCGCAAAUUGGAGAAGUCCGUAAUCAUCCCGUACCACGUGGCACGAGUUGGACGCAUUACGCAGAUCAGCACCCGUCCGCCCACCUUCCUCUUGCAGCUGCAGACAAAGAAGGAGGAGAGUCAGCUGCCCAAGGCACUGCAGGAGAUGAUGAAGAACGCCAUCACCGAGGAAUUCGGCUUCCGCGGCGUGCCACUGCGGCUUGUGCAGGAGGUGAAAGACUCCAAUCCGGACUACAUCUAAGCUCUCCCCGCCGUCUACCUCGUCUCCCUCAUGUUGGUCGGCUGAACGUGGAGUAUAUAUAUAUGUGUGUGUGUGUGCAUGUGGAGUUGAGUUGCGCAGGGCGAGGGCGGUAGGACUUCCUCUGACGCGCAUGCACAGCAAGCUAAAGACCUAUGCACACACGUGGAUGUAGUCACUGCUGCUGCUGCUGCUUGCUCUACUUGUGCUGCUGCUCCUAUCCUAUCCUAUCCACCACACAGCCGCCGACGCCAGGGGGUGGGUGAUUGGGUUGCUAACCUUCACAGUUUUUGCUGUGGUUGGCUUUCUGUGAUUGCAUAACCGCUUAACACGGUGGCCCCGCUCCUC